UACGUAGGGGGCAAGCGUUGUCCGGAUUUAUUGGGCGUAAAGAGCGUGUAGGCGGCCAUACAGGUCAGCUGUGAAAACUCGAGGCUCAACCUCGAGACGUCGGUUGAAACCAUCUGGCUAGAGUCCGGAAGAGGAGAGUGGAAUUCCUGGUGUAGCGGUGAAAUGCGCAGAUAUCAGGAAGAACACCCGUGGCGAAGGCGGCUCUCUGGGACGGUACUGACGCUGAGACGCGAAAGCGUGGGGAGCGAACAGG
This 253-nucleotide ribosomal RNA is filed under the name uncultured bacterium. RNAcentral's name for it is "partial 16S ribosomal RNA". It matches the Rfam family "Bacterial small subunit ribosomal RNA", at positions 524 to 776 of the family's 1533-position model. The record is from RNAcentral.